CAUCCCUUUGCAGCCACCACCUGCUGGUUGCCAGAGCAAAUCCCAAACAGGAAGAAGCAGGAGCAGAGCACUCACCAGGAGGAGGAAUCGGUGUUUCAGGGCUGUAAGAUGUCAAUUACUGCUGUAGAAGAGGCAAAGCUACAUGUGGGUUUUGCCCUUUCCUCUCCAGGGAAUGGAAGCUGUGAAAGCAGGAACACUGGGCACAAGCAGAAGAGGAGAGGUAAAUCCUACCCUUGGAAAAGCCCCCUUGUAAUCCAUUUCUGCCAGAGACCUUUCUGAUUUGGUGGGGUCCAUUAGAAAAACCUUCUCGUUGUUACAGAGCUGAAACUCUGUGUUCAGGGAGUAAACAACUGGAAUUGGGCGGUUUGUCUGCUGGAAGGAGAUCGGGAUCAAAACCUGCAAUUGGGACAAGGAAGAACACAAAGGGGAGAUGAGGUUUGGACAGGUGUGCACCCCAAAGGGGCCGAGCCUGCCCUCCUGCCCUCUUACCGCUCGGGAGCGUGAGCCGUGCAGGGCAGGGGCUCGGCCCCAAGCUCUGCCCACGGCUGCGUGGGCUGCACCGUGCAGAGGAUCAGGAAGAUGGUGUAUUCUCCAGAGUAAAUCUUCCUGUUGUAGGAGCUGGUUGCUC
This 628-nucleotide long non-coding RNA is filed under the name Cyanistes caeruleus (blue tit). RNAcentral's name for it is "lncRNA (ENSCCEG00000000879.1)". The record is from RNAcentral. Lineage: Eukaryota; Metazoa; Chordata; Aves; Passeriformes; Paridae.